GACAAUGCUGGAUCCUUAACCUGCUGAGCCACAUUUCAAGUGCUCAACAUUCACAUGUCAUCAUAGCUACCAUAUGGGAAAACCCAAGUCUAGACAGAAAAUAAACAAGUAAAUCCACAAAUACAGAACAUAGAGAGACAGCAAGGAAGCGUGUGAUUCUCAUGCCUGGAUUUGUCAUGUUGGGGGACUUGGACAAGGCAAUUUCUUUCACAGAUAGCAGUUUCCCCAUUUGGGAAAUAAAGCAUCCACCCUUUAAUAUAACUAUAAACUCUUGAGAAUGACCUCCAGAAAGUUAUGGGCCAGAUGAUCCAAUCAUGCAACUGUGUGACGUGAAUAUCAUUUUUCUCAUUCUACUGAGGAGAAACAUGAGGCAGAAAGAGGUUUAUUAUCUUAGAUUUGGGAUUUAAACCUGGACCAUGCUGGCUUCAGAGACUGCCCUUUUCAACCACUUAGCCAUGUUUCUUUGCUUUCUUAUAAAUCAUGUGAUUUAACUCUUAUAA
Phacochoerus africanus (Common warthog) is the source of this 500-nucleotide long non-coding RNA. RefSeq lists it as uncharacterized. The transcript has 3 exons. The record is from RefSeq and is a predicted model, not a curated record. Lineage: Eukaryota; Metazoa; Chordata; Mammalia; Artiodactyla; Suidae.